CAGGCCUAACACAUGCAAGUCGAGCGGAUGAAGGGAGCUUGCUCUCUGAUUCAGCGGCGGACGGGUGAGUAAUGCCUAGGAAUCUGCCUAGUAGUGGGGGACAACGUUUCGAAAGGAACGCUAAUACCGCAUACGUCCUACGGGAGAAAGUGGGGGAUCUUCGGACCUCACGCUAUUAGAUGAGCCUAGGUCGGAUUAGCUAGUUGGUAGGGUAACGGCCUACCAAGGCGACGAUCCGUAACUGGUCUGAGAGGAUGAUCAGUCACACUGGAACUGAGACACGGUCCAGACUCCUACGGGAGGCAGCAGUGGGGAAUAUUGGACAAUGGGCGAAAGCCUGAUCCAGCCAUGCCGCGUGUGUGAAGAAGGCCUUCGGGUCGUAAAGCACUUUAAGUUGGGAGGAAGGGCUCAUAGCGAAUACCUGUGAGUUUUGACGUUACCAACAGAAUAAGCACCGGCUAACUUCGUGCCAGCAGCCGCGGUAAU
This 486-nucleotide ribosomal RNA is filed under the name uncultured bacterium. RNAcentral describes it as "bacterial SSU rRNA". It matches the Rfam family "Bacterial small subunit ribosomal RNA", at positions 43 to 524 of the family's 1533-position model. The record is from RNAcentral.